GAAUAGUGAACAAUGGGGGGAACCCUGAUCCAGUCAUGCCGCGUGUGUGAAGAAGGCCUUAUGUUUGUAAAGCACUUUACGCGAGGAGGAGGAGCCCUUGGUUAAUAACCAUGAUGCUGGGACGUUACGAGCAGUCUACGCCCCGGCAACAGCUGUGCCAGCAUCCGCGGUAAUACAGAGGGUGCAAGCGUUAAUCGGAUUUACUGGGCGUAAAGCGCGCGUAGGUGGCCUAUUAAGUCAAAUGUGAAAUCCCCGAGCUUAACUUGGGAAUUGCAUUCGAUACUGGUUGGCUAGAGUAUGGGAGAUGAUGGUAGAAUUCCAGGUGUAGCGGUGAAAUGCGUAGAGAUCUGGAGGAAUACCGAUGGCGAAGGCAGCCAUCUGGCCUAAUACUGACACUGAGGUGCGAAAGCAUGGGGAGCAAAC
This 423-nucleotide ribosomal RNA is filed under the name uncultured bacterium. RNAcentral's name for it is "partial 16S ribosomal RNA". It matches the Rfam family "Bacterial small subunit ribosomal RNA", at positions 359 to 773 of the family's 1533-position model. The record is from RNAcentral.